CCCGCUGAGUUUAAGCAUAUCAAUAAGCGGAGGAAAAGAAACUA
Molecule: ribosomal RNA, 44 nt
Filed under: Combretum collinum subsp. hypopilinum
Lineage: Eukaryota; Viridiplantae; Streptophyta; Magnoliopsida; Myrtales; Combretaceae
Description: partial 28S ribosomal RNA
Source: RNAcentral